Ribosomal RNA from Cricetulus griseus (Chinese hamster), 106 nucleotides. The record is from Ensembl. NCBI's taxonomy places the organism in Eukaryota, Metazoa, Chordata, Mammalia, Rodentia, Cricetidae.
AUCUAUGGCCAUACAUAGUGAACAUUGCCCUAUCUCAUCCGAUCAUGAUUGGGUCUGGUUAGUACUAGAAUGGGAGACCACCUGGGAAUACUGAGUACAGUAGGCU